AGCAAUUUAUAACCAACUCGAAGAGCUUCAUAUGAACUAAUCAAGCACUUAUUUUAGAGAUUAACCGGAUAGAGACAGUAAUUGGAAUUACCCUACGGUUUCAAUCAAAACCAAUAUAUCAAGGAAUUUGGACACCCAGAUAUAUCAUUUUCUAAACAUACAUUCAAUCAUUUUCUCAUUUAAUGAAAAUAAUACAAGGAAUUGGGACUAACCUAGUUUAAUUCAAAGCUCAGUCAACAGCAGUCACAACGCGAUUUCCAAUCUCAGCUUGAACACCCAGAUAUAUCAACUUAAAUUUCUAAACUCGACCACAAAAUACAACUUGAUUCAAGUCGAUUGCAGCAACAACAAAAUAGGAAGAAACUACAGCGACUCGACCCGACGACCUCUCAUAAUCCCGACAAACUAGAACUCAAACGGGUUGGUUUUGGAGCUGAUUUUCAGUGAGCUAUUAGAGCUCUAUCUGGCUGGAUUUGGUGGCUGAUUGCAGCAAGUUUCAGCUGCCUUUUUGGGGUAUAUUUGGACUAUUUUUCGAGCAGAUUUUCGCCGGGUUUUGGGGCUGUUUUUCAGCAGUUCUUCAGCGGGAUUUUGUAACUGAUUUAGAGCAGUUUCAGGGCGUUCUUUUGGAGGUGAUUAGCGACUGGAUUUUUGGGUGUUAUGUUGUGUGUGUUCUUAGGAAAAAAUGGGGAAAUUCGCGUGUCCUCCCUUCUUCUAUCUGAUCUCUGUAUUUGUAUGUGAAGGAGUGAAAAAGAAGGGUUGAAAAAUUGGGGAACGAGACACGCCUCUCUCCCGGUCAGAAAUUGGAAUUACCCUACGGUUUCAAUCAUAACCAAUACAAAGCACACCUUAGAGCAACAUAAAUUCUAAUCUGAAGAGGUCUACGGAAACUCAACAUACAUUCAAUCAUUUUCACAUUUAAUGAAAAUAAUACAAGGAAUUUGGGACUGACCUAGUUGAAAUCAAAGCUCAGUCAACCGCAGUCACAACGUGAUUUCCAAUCUCAGCUUGAACACCCAGAUAUAUCAACUUCAAUUUCUGAACUCGACCACAAAAUACACCUCGAGUCAAGUCGAUUGCAGCGACAACAAAACAGAAAGCAACUACAACGAACUUGACCCGACGACCUCACAUAAUCUCGACAAACUCGAACUCAAACGAGUUGGUUUUUGGAGCUGAUUUUCAGUGAGCUCUUAGAGCUCUAUAUGGCUGGAUUUGGUGGCUGAUUGCAGCAAGUUUCAGCUGCCUUUUUCGGGUAUUUUUGAACUAUUUUUCGAGCACAUUUUCGCUGGGUUUUGGGGCUUUUUUCAGCAAUUCUUCAGCGGGAUUUUGUAACUGAUUUGGGGCAGUUUUAGGGCGUUCUUUUGGAGGUGAUUAGCGGCUGGAUUUAAGGUGUUCUGUUGUGUGUGUUCUUACGAAAAAAUGGGGAAAUUCACGUGUCCUCCCUUCUUCGUUCUGGAUCUCUAUAUUUGUAUGUGAAGGAGUAGAGAAGAAGGGUUGAAAAAUUGGGGAAUGAGACACGAGGAAAAGAACAGCAUUCAGCUAAAUGGUUGAGCUGUUUGGCCC
This 1563-nucleotide long non-coding RNA is filed under the name Nicotiana benthamiana. Its description in RNAcentral is "long non-coding RNA (NBEN_LNC004577)". The record is from RNAcentral. Lineage: Eukaryota; Viridiplantae; Streptophyta; Magnoliopsida; Solanales; Solanaceae.